Melospiza melodia melodia is the source of this 1399-nucleotide non-coding RNA. The record is from the annotation of a RefSeq genome assembly. Lineage: Eukaryota; Metazoa; Chordata; Aves; Passeriformes; Passerellidae.
CACCCAGGGUGAGAAACAGCAAGGAGGGCAGCAAGAGCUUCAGGUUCUAGUCCUCAUGCCCCACCUCUCCCCCUCAGUGCUGUCACAGGCAGAGGGAGGGACCAGCAGGGCCUGGGCCUGAGAGCAGUGCCAGAGGCCCAGGCAGGGCAGGUGUGGGCAGAGCUGUUGUGCAGGCGCAGAGAAGCUGCAGAGAGGCCACGGAGAGCGGGCCUGGCCAUGUGGAGUGCCCUGUGCGUGGGCUUCUUGCCCAUUGUAGCAGCAGUCACUGGCCAGGUGGCCUUGGAGCAGCACCCCAGAGAAGUGACCGUGCGAGAGGGAGAUGGAGUCACCUUCCAGUGCAGCUUGGAGAGAGGGUCUGCCCUAGGCUACAACAUGUACUGGUAUCGUCAAGGCCCAGGGGGCUCUCUCAAAUUUAUCUACAAGGAGGGUGAAAUCUUUGGAGAAGGUUUCCAAGAUCGUUUUGUGGGAUCAGUGGAGAGGUUCCGUUUCACACUGCAGCUCCUGGCAGCAACCCCAGGCGAUGCAGCAAUGUAUUACUGUGGAGCACAGACCACCCUGGAGCAGCUCUGCAGCAGAGUGAACCAAAAACCAGCAGAUGGGGAAGACAGAUCUCCCAGCAUUUCUUUCUGGCAGCUGCUCCCCAGGGCUCUUGUCAGGCAAUGGCAGGUGCAGGAAACCUCCCUCUGGCUCGGUGGCACUAAAAGGCACUGAAGGGAGGGCUGCUGGAAGGGCUGGUGCCAUUGAUGGUGCAGGAGGAUCUGUGCUGGGAGCUGCAGAGGCUGCAGUUUGGGCGAGUGCAGGGUUAGUGCACCUCACCAGGGCUCCUGUCCAGCAUGGCCUCAUUUCUCCUCUGUGCCUUGCCUUGGCUCCCAACCCUUUUUCUUCAGGGACAGUCAGCAUGGCUUUGGGAAGUUGGGAUUUGGCUUAGCCACAUUGACAGCAUUCUACAGUGAGACAAAGGGUCUUGCUGGGUGAGGAGAGAGUGGAUGUUGCGCAUUCUUCAUUCAGUUGAGCUCCCAGCACUGACUUCCCUGGAAACCUUCUGCACAAAUCUUUUUAUUAUGGCCAUGGUUCAGUGACAUGGAUUGUGCAAGGGGACAUAUUCCUCCUCCUGGGCUGUGGGAAAUGAAAUUCCUGUAGGCUGAUCUGGCUGCUGAAGCCGGAGGUGAAUAAAGCAUUCAGGACCUCAGCCCUGUCCCCUGUACUCUGUCACCUGGUCCCCAUCCCAUUCAGCACUGGGCCCACGUUUUCCCAGCCUCGUUUGUCCGUGCAGCCUCCUGACACCUUGUCCUGACUCCUUGCUCACUGGGGAGGAAUCCAGGUGAGAGCCGGGCAGGGAGGGCAGCGAGCCCAGCCCAGGGCAAUGAAGGACAGUGACAGCGACAGGUAGGGACAGGGA